AUUCAGUGCCUCCAGCAUUUAGAACUAUUGCUUGAAAACAUCCCAACAAUGUUUCAGAGUAGUACAACUGCUGAGUCAUGUUUUGGUGCUGCAAUCAAGGUACAUAUUAUGCACAGCCUUUUCAACGACUUCUGCAUUAACAGACUGGAGUAGUGUACAAAAAUCUUUUAGACACUUUCAGACUAUUCAAAUCUAUAAUAUUUUUUCCCCUCUGUUUGUAGGUUCAUUGGCAUAUUGUCCUGAUUAGAGUGUACUUUAUAAAGCUUUAAACUUUGCAUUGUCCUUCGAGGUAUUAGAAUUCCUAGUUCAAAACUUAGCAAUUUGUCUUUUAUAAAAGACAUUUGCAUUUUCAGUGUUGUUUAGGUUCGCAAAUAAGAUGCUAUAUUUGGACUUGCUGUUAGUAAAAGACUUGCUGUAUUUUAUUUAUAUUUAUAUUUAAUCUAAUUUUUAUUAUUUAUUUUA
This is a long non-coding RNA of Gossypium arboreum, 462 nucleotides long. RefSeq lists it as uncharacterized. The transcript has 2 exons. NCBI's taxonomy places the organism in Eukaryota, Viridiplantae, Streptophyta, Magnoliopsida, Malvales, Malvaceae. The record is from RefSeq and is a predicted model, not a curated record.